This is a long non-coding RNA of Jaculus jaculus (lesser Egyptian jerboa), 1790 nucleotides long. RefSeq lists it as uncharacterized. The transcript has 4 exons. NCBI's taxonomy places the organism in Eukaryota, Metazoa, Chordata, Mammalia, Rodentia, Dipodidae. The record is from RefSeq and is a predicted model, not a curated record.
GCGCCAUUGGCCUCUCCGCCCACCGUCCGGCAUCCAUUGGCCAACUCGCCGCCAAUCAGCGGAGGGUGCCGGGGCCUCCUAAAGAAGAGGCUGUGCUCUGGAGCUCCGGCUCCUCAGAGAGCCUCGGCUAGGGUCUCACUGUUGCCCAGGCUGACCUGAAAUUAAAGGUUGCUCCUUGAGGGCAGGACAGUGCUUGCUUGUUCAUGGUUGUAAACUGGCUGCCUAAGUGCAAGGAGGUCUUCGAAGUCAAAACUAAUUUUCAUGACACAACAUGAUACGUUUUUCAUUCUCUGGAAUGCAAUACCUAUGUGAUGUUCUGUGAUGACAAGUGUUACUAAUGUUAAUAAAUGGUGUUAUAUGUAUAGUUUUGGAUUUUCCCAGGUGCCUGGUAGGUUUAGGCAUGAAUAUUUCUGUUUAUAAAUCAAGUCCCAUUUUAGCUUAUGUCUUAAAUAAUUUAUGCAGCCUCAAUGUCAUGAAAUGCUUAUUUUUAAAUCCAGUAGCUUGUUUUGUGCCCAAGGGUAAAUAUUUAUUGGAGCUGGAGAGAUGGCUUAGUGCUUGUCUGCAAAACCAAAGGACCCAAGUUCAGUUCCCCAGUACCCACAUAAAGCCAGAUGCACAAGCUGGCACAUAUAUCUGGAGUUCAUUAUUAGUGACUAGAGGCUCUGGUGUGCCAGUUUUCUCUAUCUGCCUCUUUUUGUCAAAUAAAGACUGGGAAUAAUUCAGCAAAUUAUAAGAUGUAUUAAAGAUGUCUUUCAUUUGGCUUUAGAGAGAGUCUUGCUAGCACAUCUUCUGCAACAAAUGAAUUUGAAGAGUACACUGGUGCCACCUAUGUUGGGUCAUUGUUGUUUCCAAUGUUAUUAAGAACUGUAAAUGCAGAUGUAUUAAUGUUCUAUAAAAUAAACUUGGAAUGAAUGUAUAUAUCUCUCAGUUGAUAAAGUGUUUGCCUAACUUCAUGAAGCCCUGAAUUUGAUUCUCAGUAUGCAAUAAACCAGGCAUGGUGGUACAUGUAUGUUAUCCCUACACUUGGAAAGUGAAGACAGGAGGAUCAGAAGUUGAAGGUUAUCCUCGGCUUACAUUGGUUGGAGAAACACAUAAUAAAUACAAAAAACAUAAUUUACAGUGCCGAGUAUCUGGCAGGUGUAGUGGUGCACUUGGGAGGCAGAGGUAGGAGAAUUGCCAUGAAUUUGAAAUCACCAUGAGACUACACAGUGAAUUCCAGAUCAGCCUGGGCUAGAGUGAAUCGAGAGAGAAUGGGCAUGCUUCAGUCCCUGACUUGUUCUAAGAGAAAGCGAACCAGUGAAUUUUUUUAAGAAAAGUACGUUUUUUUAUUCUGCAUGAAUACACCGAUCACUGAAUACCUAAGGUGAAUGAAAGUCUUCAAAAUAAGUUCACAUAAGGCAACUACUGUUUGUUUCAAGGAAACCAUUUUACAAGGACAGAAUGAAUACUGAAAUUAAGUCCUUUGCCAUGGAACUGUCUCAGACUUGGUGGAAUUGGAAAGACAACUAAAUGUGAAUAAUGGUCUAAGAGAAAAUAAGUAUCAACACAAAACUUCCAAAUUGUUUUCAUUCAGAGAUGAAUCAGUUUCUCCAUCUUGUACCCCAUUGCAGCCCCAUUAAAAAGAAAAAACAACAAUGAGAAAAUUGACCAGGUUUACUUUUUGACACCUUGAAAAGUAACAACUUUGUGUACUAAAAGAAAUCCUUUAAUUUGCCCAUACCUAUCAAUGUUUCUGCUUUUCAUAAAACAGAAAUGUCCUAUACUAAUAAAGUAUGUUUACAAACCUUUUA